RNAcentral lists this non-coding RNA (97 nucleotides) under unclassified sequences. RNAcentral's name for it is "c-di-GMP sequence". It matches the Rfam family "c-di-GMP-II-GAG riboswitch aptamer". The record is from Rfam by way of RNAcentral.
UCGAGUUGGGGAUGCAGUGAUCCGCGGGCCGAAGUCGGUCACCUCUCGCAUCAGGCGAGUGGCGCGCGGGGAGCAAGUGGUGAGACCGCCCCCUUGA